GCAGCUCCAGGAGGGCUGGGACCCAGCCAGCCCUGAGCCCCUGGGGCUGCCCUGCCUGGGCAGGGACACAGGGAACGACAGCACGGGGCAGAGGGACAGCAAGGGACACUUCAUUGUGCUGCCAAAGAAGGAAACUUGAAAUAUAAAAUAGCUUACAUAAGGACUCCUGCAGCAAGAAUAUACCCACAGGUUAACACAGGAUGGAAGGAGUGUGGAAUUUCAUCUUAAAUGCCUAUAAGGCAAGGAAGAGCAAUUCCAUCAAAAAUGCAGAAUACGGGAUUUGUCCACUUAAAACCUCUUAAAAUAUAAUCAAGCUGUUGCAAUUAGAGCUAAGAACAAUAUGACAAGCUGUAAAGCUCAUCUUUCCUUAAGAGAGGACAAAAAGUGAGUGGAACUUGUCAUUAGUGAUGCUGGAAAAAAACAUCUCUAGACAGAAUUGGAUGGAAUAUUUCCACGAACUCUAUAAAAAAUCAUUUGUGUUUUCACACAGGAAGAAAUGUAGCUUGGAGUGCAGCAAAUCCAGUUUUACUUCUUAAACUGUUUCACAUUUGCUGCACUGAUUCAGCUGAAGUUCAGGCUGUUAGCACAAAGAGAAUGCUUUUUGGUGUUUCUUCUAUUGUAAAAGUUAGGCACACUGGAUUACAAAUCCUAUUUUCACUGUUUGUAGUUCUUUGCAGGGAUACUAAACCUUGCAAAUCAGCUCCAGUACAUGAAGGUUACCUACACUCAUGAUUCACAUCCUAUUUUUAGCUAUAAAAUAUAAGAAUAUAAAUUGCAAAUAUCAAAAGCAUCCAGUGGUGAUUUAGCUCUGCUGCCUUAAAAGUCAGUCUUCCUAUUCCCACUGGACAAAAAAAAAAGUUAGUUAAAUCCAUAGCAAUUGCAAAAAUCCACUCAAGUGUUAUAAAGAACAUGGUUACUCACUAGAUCAAAAGAGGUUUUUAAAGCAAUCCUUAGGAAGAAGGGGUCAGCUUAUUCUUUCAUGAAAAAACACUAGAAAAUACACACUGGUCCCUACUGCAGUGGAGAGAUACCAGGCUCAUGUGAAUAUUUCUACAUUCUGGGGAAAUGGGCCUUGUUUGACUAAAUUUAGCAGCUUUUUCCUAUGUGCUGCUCUUGUAAAUGAAAAUACAGUCCCUGUAGGCAGUCUCACAAUUUCCCUUUGUCCUAAACUUAAAGAUCUCCAUGCAAUUCCUAUUAAAGACCAAACACCAAUAUUCCCUAUUCAUAGUCCCUGAUCUCUGCUUGAUGAGUGAGGUUUUUUCUCCCUCUAGGAGACCAAACUAACACAACCCUACUGUAUAUGUAUGUAAGGGACAUGAUGGCCAAGUGCCAGGAAAUGCAUUAUCAUGAACAGCUUUUUUAAUUAUUGCCACUGGUGGUUUCAACUAGAAUUGAACUCCUUCUUCUGGAAUGUACCUGUACACAGACAAGGAAAGCUGUGCUUUGUACCAGUCAUCUUGGAUUCUCUCUCUUCCAGUUUCUAACUUGUAGAAUUAAUAUUUCAGACAGAGAAUUUCUCCAAUGGUAUUCACUUGAUUUACAUUAGUUAAGUAUCUUUCAGGCCUGUGUAACUACCAGAAAAAGCUCAAAAUCAAAAUUUAAAUUUUGCAGUAGUUAAAAGUUCCAGAGAUAUACAUUUUUUUGCUAUUACUCUGUUGGCUAAGGAAAAUCAGAAUCCACAAUCGAACAGCACAUGCUAUUCCACUCUAAAUGCUCCUAAAUUUUGUCUAAAGAACCCAAACCUCUGCUGACAGCAAUUGGGUUCCCUCUGCAGGCAGACAGCCCUGGCCAGCCGUGCUGCAUGCCCCACUACACAGCCCAGGCAGGGAUUAAACUGGAAAUCAAUCAUGAAACCUGUAUAAACUGGAAAUCAAUCACGAAACCUGUAUAAAGCACACUGCAAAAUCUCCAGGGUGAGAAAGUUUCCCUGGAGCACAAAGCCAUCCCUAUCCUCUGCUGGCUGCUGCAGCAGCAGAGCACAGCGUCACCUCCAGCCCCCCACACCUCCGGGCUCCUGAUCCUCCACUGACAGCAACAUCUCGGGAGAGAAUUUUCCACCAGGAGCUGGAAGGGAAUGACUGACCUCUGAGAAGUGCUGCAGGGCUUGACAAGGUGAUGACAUCCUGCAUCUUUAUUUUUAUUGCAUCAGCUGACUGCAAAGAUCAUGUCUCAAGCAUUUAAACUGACCAAAGUUCAAAGACAUGCAAAUGUCAAAAAUAAAAUGUGUUAAAGUGGAGCCAGCAAUGUCUCAGCAAAUAACUCAAUGGACUCUCCUGGAUGAACUGAAUAACUUUUUCAUUUAUAUAAAUUUUAGCUGUUAAUAAACAAUUUUGAAUUUA
Molecule: long non-coding RNA, 2339 nt
Organism: Passer montanus (Eurasian tree sparrow)
Lineage: Eukaryota; Metazoa; Chordata; Aves; Passeriformes; Passeridae
Exons: 2
Source: RefSeq, a predicted model, not a curated record